Molecule: ribosomal RNA, 198 nt
Filed under: uncultured bacterium
Lineage: Bacteria
Description: partial 16S ribosomal RNA
Rfam family: Bacterial small subunit ribosomal RNA
Source: RNAcentral
ACGCUCGACACCUACGGUAGGCAGCAGUGGGGAAUAUUGCACAAUGGGGGGAACCCUGAUGCAGCGACGCCGCGUGAGUGAAGAAGUACUUCGGUAUGUAAAGCUCUAUCAGCAGGGAAGAAAAUGACGGUACCUGACUAAGAAGCCCCGGCUAACUACGUGCCAGAAGCCGCGGUAAUCUGAGCGGGCUGGCAAGGC